UGAGGAAUAUUGGUCAAUGGACGAGAGUCUGAACCAGCCAAGUAGCGUGAAGGAUGACUGCCCUAUGGGUUGUAAACUUCUUUUAUACGGGAAUAAAGUGGAGUAUGCAUACUCCUUUGUAUGUACCGUAUGAAUAAGGAUCGGCUAACUCCGUGCCAGCAGCCGCGGUAAUACGGAGGAUCCGAGCGUUAUCCGGAUUUAUUGGGUUUAAAGGGAGCGUAGGCGGGUGCUUAAGUCAGUUGUGAAAGUUUGCGGCUCAACCGUAAAAUUGCAGUUGAUACUGGAUAUCUUGAGUGCAGUUGAGGCAGGCGGAAUUCGUGGUGUAGCGGUGAAAUGCUUAGAUAUCACGAAGAACUCCGAUUGCGAAGGCAGCCUGCUAAGCUGCAACUGACAUUGAGGCUCGAAAGUGUGGGUAUCAAACAGGAUUAGAUACCCUGGUAGUCCACACGGUAAACGAUGAAUACUCGCUGUUUGCGAUAUACUGCAAGCGGCCAAGCGAAAGCGUUAAGUAUUCCACCUGGGGAGUACGCCGGCAACGGUGAAACUCAAAGGAAUUGACGGGGGCCCGCACAAGCGGAGGAACAUGUGGUUUAAUUCGAUGAUACGCGAGGAACCUUACCCGGGCUUAAAUUGCAGAUGAAUUACGGUGAAAGCCGUAAGCCGCAAGGCAUCUGUGAAGGUGCUGCAUGGUUGUCGUCAGCUCGUGCCGUGAGGUGUCGGCUUAAGUGCCAUAACGAGCGCAACCCUUGUUGUCAGUUACUAACAGGUUUUGCUGAGGACUCUGACAAGACUGCCAUCGUAAGAUGUGAGGAAGGUGGGGAUGACGUCAAAUCAGCACGGCCCUUACGUCCGGGGCUACACACGUGUUACAAUGGGGGGUACAGAGGGCCGCUACCACGCGAGUGGAUGCCAAUCCCCAAAACCUCUCUCAGUUCGGACUGGAGUCUGCAACCCGACUCCACGAAGCUGGAUUCGCUAGUAAUCGCGCAUCAGCCACAGCGCGGUGAAUACGUUCCC
This 1017-nucleotide ribosomal RNA is filed under the name uncultured bacterium. RNAcentral describes it as "bacterial SSU rRNA". It matches the Rfam family "Bacterial small subunit ribosomal RNA", at positions 355 to 1375 of the family's 1533-position model. The record is from RNAcentral.